This is a small RNA of Erwinia billingiae, 143 nucleotides long. It matches the Rfam family "isrN Hfq binding RNA". NCBI's taxonomy places the organism in Bacteria, Pseudomonadati, Pseudomonadota, Gammaproteobacteria, Enterobacterales, Erwiniaceae. The record is from Rfam.
GGAUCACCGCUUCAUCACGCCGGGUAUCGGGCUGGUAACAAUACACCGUCCUGCUCAGCGAUAACGUCCUGCAUGCCUGGCGUAUGCUCAUCGUAAACUGCGCGGUCAGAUAGUUGACGAGCUCACGCUUUAUCGCUGGUUUU